Molecule: ribosomal RNA, 256 nt
Filed under: uncultured bacterium
Lineage: Bacteria
Description: partial 16S ribosomal RNA
Rfam family: Bacterial small subunit ribosomal RNA
Source: RNAcentral
GACGUAGGUGGCGAACGUUAUCCGGAAUUAUUGGGCGUAAAGGGUGCGUAGACGGCAGGAUAAGUUAUUGGUGGUAAAUCGAGGCUCAACCUCGUGGAAACUGAUAAUACUGUUUUGCUUGAGUGCAGGAGAGGUUAACGGAACUCCAUGUGGAGCGGUAAAAUGCGUAGAUAUAUGGAAGAACAUCAAUAACGGCGAAGGCAGUUAACUAUUCUGUUACUGACGUUGAGGCACGAAAGCGUGGGGAGCAAAACGG